Molecule: long non-coding RNA, 1175 nt
Organism: Daktulosphaira vitifoliae (grape phylloxera)
Lineage: Eukaryota; Metazoa; Arthropoda; Insecta; Hemiptera; Phylloxeridae
Exons: 4
Source: RefSeq, a predicted model, not a curated record
UAUUAUAAACUAGUUUAUAAUUAAGAAAACGACUGUCGAUAAUAACUUUUGGACCAAUACUUAGGAAGUUAUUAGAAUUUUAAAAUAUAAUACUGAUGGCGAAGCGCAGAUGCUAUUUUUACAUUAGUCAUUCUUCGGUCACACUUCUCCUGCCACUUAGAUACAAAAAUUAGAAUAUCUUACAAAGCACUAGUCUAAAAUUUGUUGUUUUAAAUUACCUUAAUUUAAUUUAAUUACAUUAAUUUUUUAAAUUACAAAUGCUAAAAUCGUUUUGUAUUUUAUAAGUCGAUUAACACAAUAUUCAUGCUCUGCAUUUAUUUCAAUUAAUGAUUUAAUAAUAUACUGUGAAUAAAAGUAACAAUUUUUUAUGAUUUGAUAAUUUAACCAUCACUAUUUAUAAGCUGAAAACAAUAUUUUGAGAUCCACAUUUUAAAUAACUCACAAAUUUGAUCAAUUGUUAUCAAGCAAAAUUUAACUAACACGACAAUGUAAAAGUCGUAACAAUGUUAUUACUGGAAAGGCCAAAUAAUCAAUAAAGAUAAACAGGAAAUUCUAUACGGCAGUUAACUACUACACAUCAUUCGCACAAUGCCAAUACACACACAUGUGCAUAUAUGUAUAGUAAACGGAACAUCUUGAAACGGUAUUGAGUUUACUGGAGUCUAUAAUUUUCCUUGACAAAUUAUGUUUUCGCUUCGAUAUCAAGAGGACCUAUUGAAUAUUAUGGAAUUUGUUGACAUAAAAGGGCCGUCGUUAAACAUAGACGAUCAAGUGAAGUUAUUUCGGAAAACGUCCAAGUGAGUUAAAGUGAACUCGAUUUUCUAUCCCAAUUGAAAAAAAAUCAGUGCUUCGGUGGAAAUGAAUCGCCAAGUUUAAAACGUUGGAACUCAAACGUGUGUUCGUAGGUUUGUAAAUCGUUACAACCCUGAGGCAUCGACAGAAGAUGAAACAGACAAUGGAAAAAAUUCAUAGUAAUAGGCAAGAUAUAGGAGAAGUUUUCAUGCCAAUUUGAUAUUUAAAAUCCAUUUACAGAAGUCAGGAAAAAUCAUAGAUGUUUAACUUCGUCAUGUUACACUAGUAAUAGUGAUUUAAUAUAAACACUUGUAUUAACUGAAUAUUUUAUUAUAACUGUAUAUAUACAUUAGUUAUUAUUUUACAAUGUUUUAAUAUCGUAA